GGCCAUGCCACCCUGAACAAGCCCGACGCCGUCUGAUCUUGGAAGCUAAGUAGGGUCGGGUCUGGUUAGUACUUGGAUGGGAGACCACCUAGGAAGACCAGGUGCU
RNAcentral lists this ribosomal RNA (106 nucleotides) under Pteropus alecto (black flying fox). Lineage: Eukaryota; Metazoa; Chordata; Mammalia; Chiroptera; Pteropodidae. The record is from RNAcentral.